Molecule: RNA transcript, 4949 nt
Organism: Camellia sinensis
Lineage: Eukaryota; Viridiplantae; Streptophyta; Magnoliopsida; Ericales; Theaceae
Gene name: kinase superfamily with octicosapeptide/Phox/Bem1p domain-containing protein
Source: RefSeq, a predicted model, not a curated record
UCGUCAUCAUCUUCUCCAAAAGAUUUCUCUUUUUUUCAUCACAGGGCUCCAAUCCCUCACUCUCUCUCUCUCUCUCCAUUUUCUCUCUCUAUACAUAUAUAUCUUACAUAUACAUCUAUCGUGAGCUGUUCUACAUAGAUAUACAUCUAUCGUGAGCUGUUCUACAUAGAUCUUCUUCGUUUAUUCUCAGAACGCACAAAAAUUUCAAAAAGGUGAGGGAGAGAAAGAAGAUUCUCUUCUGUGGCUAUUUUUUGAUUGGUUAGGGUUUCGUGAAUUUGAGGCUGUCUUCGUUUUCUAGGGUUUCUUGAAUCUCAAAAUCGCCAUUUACAGGUAGCGUUUUUCUUCUAUACCUAAUUCAGUGUAUUGAAAAGUGGUUGAUUUUGUUAUUGGAAUUUGAAUCUGGAUUAAGGAAUUAGGGUUUCGAGGGGUUGAGCUAAAUUUCGUUGUACUGUUUUGUUUAAAUCUAUUGAAUUCCAAGGAGGUAAUGGGGUGUUGAUGAUUGUUGUUUGUAAAUGAGAAGCUUUUGGGCAAUAUUUAUGGAGAAUCAAUCAAUAAUAAUUUGGUAUGUGUUAGGUGAGAGAGUGGUUUUGGCACAUGUGGUUGGGGUAAUGGAAAAUUUCGGCAAAUGGGUGUGAGUGAUACUCAUGUGUUGUAUAGAAGCUGCAUGCUUGAGACAAUCAUUAUUGCAAUUCGAAACCCGUAUUGAUCAGCAACGCCAUCAGGCAGCGUACUCAAUGGAUAGUCCUUCCACCACCCCGGGUUCUCUUCCGAGUUCUACUGACGAAAACCCACGUGUAAAAUUUUUAUGUAGUUUUUCAGGUAGUAUUUUGCCACGCCCCCAAGAUGGGAAGCUGCGGUAUGUGGGUGGUGAGACGCGAAUUGUGAGUGUGCCCCGAGAUAUUACUUAUGAAGAGCUGAUGGUGAAAAUGAGAGAGCUUUAUGAAGGGGCAACAGUGUUGAAAUAUCAGCAGCCUGACGAGGAUCUUGAUGCGCUCGUGUCAGUUGUGAAUGAUGAUGAUGUAACCAACAUGAUGGAGGAGUAUGAUAAAUUGGGUUCUGGAGAUGGGUUCACUAGACUCAGGAUUUUUUUGUUUCCGCAUCCUGAUCAGGAUGGUUCUUCGCAUUUUGUGGAUGGGGAUGAAAGGGAUACUGAGAGGAGAUAUGUUGAUGCUUUGAACAGCCUUAAUGAAUCCCCUGAAUUUAGGCAACAGCAGGGUUGUGAAUCAAUAGUAACAGGUACGGUAGAUGAUAUCCAUGUUGCAGAGCAGUACUUUAACCAGAUAAGCCUUGAGGGUAGCCUCCAUAACCAGAGGAAUUAUGAGUUACCCAUUCCACAGUUUAACUUGUGUCACCUCACAAUACCUCAUACGGGUUCAGGGCAGCACCAGCAAAUGGAGGCUCCAUGGAGUCCUGCAUACUACUCCCCUAGGCAUCCUGGGAACCAUGAUCCAAGGCCAGUGGCAGAGUUCCCAACUUCACCUUCUUCGGCUCGAUUCCAUUCUCCAUAUGGGGAGUUCUCAGAAAAAGGUUUGGAUAGAAUGUCUGAGGAAUACAGUCGACAGCAAAUGAGUCAUCCAUUCCCAUAUGACCACAAGCCGCAAUUUUCGGACAAUGUAGUAUGGUUGCCAAAUGGGGGUAUACCUGGUGAUAAAUCUGGUUUCCCGGGUAAUAUACUUCAUGGCCCCAAUGUUUUUGAUGGAAGUAACAUCUGUGAGCACUGCCGAAUGACUUUCCAAAGAAAUGAAGCUUAUCCUGAUUUCCCUUGGAAGCAUGGAGAACAACCACAUUUGGAGCAGCCCCAUAUGGCCAAUGCAUUUCAGCAGGUUUCUGGUCUGUGUGCUGAGUGCCAUCCAAAUAGGGAAGCUUUUGUGUUGAAUGAAGAUGCAAAGUUUCACCAUGGCUUCUACCCGAGAGAACAAAAUGAUGCUCGACCAAUCUACAAUGAAACUCAUAUUCAGGAAAGAGGAUGGAUUCUGCAGCCUCAGUUAAAUCCUCGAGUUGAUGAACCAAGAUCACAAAUUCCUGGAACUGGAAGAUUGAAUGAGCACUACUUUGUAGAUGGCACUGGUAUGAAUAUCCCCAUUACUCCAGGCAAUAUAUCAGAAGGCUAUCCCGUGACCCCAAAUUAUGUUCAUCCCGAAGACCCACGGUUCCUCAGGUCUGGACCUGAAUUGGGGAAUGAAGUGUUUCAUGACCAAGCUUUGGCCUCUGCUUCUCACGUCCACCAUAUUCCUUCUGUUGAUGAGCGUGGGGCUAGGUAUGGGAAUUUUCCUUAUGUGUAUGGAGCAGAUAAUCUUUACCAAACGGCAAAUGGACAUGCACCUGCACAUAAUUUACGGAGACAUGUUCAUAACCCAUUGCAUGGGGCUCCCUCAUAUGAAGUAUGUGCUGCACCUCAUCUAGCAAAUGGUACAAGUACAGGAUUUGUGAGGGGUACAUUGGACGGUAGUCCCAGGUUCUGUAUUGGGACGGAGAAUCAAAAUCCUUUGGUUGAGUCAUCACAAAAAAUGAUGGGCUUUGAUGGAUCUGCUUUCCCAGGAAAUUUUUAUGGCCAUGCCUUAAAAUUGACACCUAAUGUAUGUAUUCUGGAAAAUGAAUGCUCACAUGCUGCAGAAUAUGUUCAAUCCCCAACUGAUAUGAUAAAUUUAGCCACUCCUACAGAAGCUGUACAGUUACCUGAUCCUGCCUGGACUUUGACGAAUGAUAAGUUGGUUUCUUUAACCACUUCUGGCCUGGAAUUAAGAAAUGACAUAAAUGUUGCCGAAUCGUCAAGGAUGGAGGAGAAAGGAACUACUGGAGAAGGAAAAGAAACGAAUCAUGCAGACAAGGUCGAAGUCUCCAAUAUGCAGAGUGUCUCUGCUCCAGAGCAAAAGACGAAUCUUGAUGAGGUGGCACCUCAUGAGUCUAUCCAUUCAAAUGGCUUGAGGCCUGCUGAAGAGUGCAGUGGCAUUGUUAAAUCAGAUGAAAUUGGUGCUCAGGCUCCUCUUGAAGAUAAAGAACUCUGUGAUCGACUGAGUUUCUUACCUGAAUUGAUUGCUUCUGUAAAGAAGGCAGCAUUAGAAGAUGUUGAGGACGUGAAUGCUAAAGUUCAAGAAGAUACUAAUUCCGUUACUGGGCGUGGUGCAACUGCAAAAGAAGAAACUGGAAAUGAAUUAGAGUUAGUGGAUGUGCAUGGGGACAUGGAAUUGGAUUCUGACAAUGACAAUCCGAACAAUUCCAAGAUUGAGACAACAAAGGCUGAGGCCGAAGCUAUUGCUAGGGGAUUACAGACUAUUAAAAAUGACGAUCUGGAGGAGAUUAGAGAACUAGGUUCGGGUACAUAUGGGUCUGUAUAUUAUGGCAAGUGGAAGGGUUCUGAUGUGGCAAUAAAGAGAAUCAAAGCCAGCUGCUUUGCUGGGAGACCUUCUGAGAGGGAACGUCUGAUUGCAGACUUUUGGAAAGAGGCUUUGAUAUUAAGCUCAUUACAUCAUCCAAAUGUUGUUUCUUUCUAUGGUAUAGUCCGUGAUGGUCCUGAUGGAUCUUUAGCGACUGUGACAGAAUUCAUGGUUAAUGGAUCUUUGAAACAGUUUAUACGGAAAAAAGACAGAACAAUUGAUCGUCGUAAGAGGCUCAUCAUAGCUAUGGAUGCUGCAUUUGGAAUGGAGUACUUGCAUGGAAAGAACAUUGUGCAUUUUGAUUUAAAAUGUGAAAACUUGUUAGUAAAUAUGAGAGAUCCACACCGACCAGUGUGUAAGAUUGGUGACCUUGGCUUAUCAAAAGUAAAACAACACACUUUAGUGUCAGGGGGUGUUCGUGGAACCUUACCUUGGAUGGCACCUGAACUUCUUAGUGGAAAGAGUAACAUGGUUACAGAAAAGAUUGAUGUUUACUCAUUUGGGAUUGUCAUGUGGGAAUUGCUCACGGGAGACGAACCGUAUGCGGAUAUGCAUUGUGCUUCUAUAAUAGGAGGAAUUGUAAACAACACCUUACGCCCGCAAAUUCCAACAUGGUGUGAUCCUGAAUGGAAGUCUUUAAUGGAAAGUUGUUGGUCCUCCGAGCCGGCAGAGAGACCAUCGUUUUCAGAAAUCUCUCAGAGGUUGAGGAACAUGGCUGCACCAAUGAAAUAAUGCCAAUCCUGGAGUAAACAAUUUCUCUUGAAUGAAGGUUAGAUGAAUGCUAAGAAGAGCGAAAAUAAAAAAAGAAUAGUUUUUGCAGUUUUUCAGUCAGCCUAUCCUUUCCCUAGUCUGCAGGCUAAUAAUAUGCAUUCCCAUGCCCUCAUUUUUCUCCCUUGAACUUUUAUUAUCGACAUGAAAGGGUUUUUUUUUUAUGAAGUAUAAUUAUAUGUGCUCUGAACCCGGUAUUACAAGAAUGACUACAAUACAUACCCUGAGGAGAGCUAUGAUUGCCCAUGGAGAAUGCUGUUAUUAUUUUUGGAUGUGUUUGGGAUGGUGGUGCGGUUCUUCCUUACAUGGGUGUUUUUUAUUCUGUCCUAUUGAGGCUGAACUGACCGGCUAUGAAAGAAUGUGUAUAUAAGUCGAAGAUAUUAGUGACCUUGGCUUUAUCUAGGCUGCAGAAUGAUGCAUUUAUCUUUUACGCUGUGUUUGGUUGGAGGAUUUGGGGAGAAAUUUGAAAAAAGAAAGGGAAAAAAUGUGUGAAAUUAAGUGAAAUAUAAGUAUGUUUUGUUUACAUUUCAUCUACCUUUUUCAUUUUCCUUUCCAAAUCCCUCAUCAAAUCUCCCAACCAAACAUAGUAUUAGAGUUUCAGACGAGACUUGGAGCCUUCUUUUGUUAUAUGUUUUCGACAUUACGUCAUUUCAUACUAUGUUCGCUUUCAACAUAUUAUAUGUUUACUGUAGAAUCUGGUUCUGGAGAUGUAAAAAAAAAUUGGAUUAUUUUGUAAGAAUAUGAAGAAUUUGUCAUUUGGGUUAUGGAGAUCUUACCGGUGAUAUAAAGUUCUGUUGAUUGGCGGUA